CGAGGGUUGGCGAUCCGGAGCAGGACGAUCGAAACCAAUAGAUGAAGAGUUUCGAUUUGUUGGGGAAUGCAAUUCUUUUGAUCCGUCUUUCCUAAGUUAAAGAUUUUAGGUAAAGUAAUCUAAAUCCUUGUUCUAGAGAAAGGUGAUCUGACCGAGAUGCCCGCUGUGAUGAUGUCAUGUGACGCUUCCUUUAGGUCAGGCCCGGGCGGUGCCAGUCUCCGCCGGGACAGGGGAUCUUGCUCCGCCUCGACGGCACCUCUACAUUGAAGCGGACGCCACCAACCGACGAACACGAUCUCGAAGGUAGACCACCGCCCCCGCCGCCGGCCUUCGUCCUUCCAUCACCCACUCCUGUGUCCCUCGCGAGCUUGGACCGCUCCCGCACCCGACGGCUUCCUUACUCGGCUUUUGGCAUCUCCUUGUCGCUUGAUGUUCCCUCUGUCUCCUACGACAGGUGAUGUGAAGAGAUAUGCGAAGGAGAAGACAGAGUUGAUCCAUGUCUUGGUAAAUGGUAGCAGACUAUGAGACCUUUCAAAGAUCACCCUGGUAAUCUCGACAUCUAUCAUCAAAGCUCUCCCUCCAUGACAGAUUCCACAAGCACAUUGCUAUCUCAGCAUAGCGUAACGUAGCAGAGAG
RNAcentral lists this long non-coding RNA (636 nucleotides) under Musa acuminata (dwarf banana). RNAcentral's name for it is "long non-coding RNA (MACU_LNC000996)". The record is from RNAcentral. Lineage: Eukaryota; Viridiplantae; Streptophyta; Magnoliopsida; Zingiberales; Musaceae.